UGCAGCUGCUAAUACAGUAGCGGGUGCAGCUGCUAAUACAGUAGCGGGUGCAGCUGCUAAUACAGUAGCAGGUGCAGCUGCUAAUACAGUAGCAGGUGCAGCUGCUAAUACAGUAGCAGGUGCAGCUGCUAAUACAGUAGCAGGUGCAGCUGCAUAUUUUUGCAAUAAAAAUGUUAUGUUGUAAUGGAAUUCAUGCAUUAGUUUUGUUUGCUUUGAACCCAGAGCAGACGUCACACGCCAGACGACAUCAACACUGCAUAAUUUAGUAUUUGUUCAUUUAUCGUGAGUAAUAUCGAUAUCGCAAUAUUAAGCACUGUUAUCGGAUAUCGCAGGUUUUCCUAAUAUCGUGCAGCCCUAGUAGUCCCUAAUAGAGACAACAUAGCCCCUGUCUUUGAGAUGGGACUGGAACCAGCCCAGCACUGUGCCUGGUAGUCCCACCCAGUGUGAGUCUGUCCAGAAGGAUGUCGUGGUCCACAGUAUCAAAAGCUGCACUGAGGUCAAGCAUCAUCAGGACAGGUGCUUCACCUGAAUCCGUGUUGAGACGAGUGUCGUUUAAUACCUGAUCAGUGCCGUCUCUGUGCUGUGGUGCUGUCUACAGCCUGACUGAAGACCGUCCAUGAUGUUAUUUGACUCUAAACAGUUGUUUAUUUGGAUCAGUACCGCCUUUGCAAUGUUUCCAUCAGAGGGAGGUUAGAGAUGGGUCAGUAGUUGUUCAACACCGAGGAUCUAGUUUCACAGCAGCAGUUUUCAGUGGUUUAGGAGAAAGACCUGAUGUUAAAGAGCAGUUAACUAUCUCCAAUACCUCAGUUUUCAGGCUACUAAAACAUUUUAAAGAAGUUAGUCGGCAGGCUGUCCAGACAGCAGGUAGAGGGUUAGGGUAGGGUAAAUGUAGGGUCUUUACUACGCCGUUCAGUGUUUCAGUACCAAUCAGGCUGAAAGGUGGCGUUGUGGCCAGGUUGUUGCUGCGUGGCUGUGUCGGUGGUCUGGAUGUGUUAGCUGAUGUAGAGGAAUGAAAGGCAGAUCUGAUGUUUGUGAUUAUUUCAUUAAA
Molecule: non-coding RNA, 1048 nt
Organism: Nothobranchius furzeri (turquoise killifish)
Lineage: Eukaryota; Metazoa; Chordata; Actinopteri; Cyprinodontiformes; Nothobranchiidae
Source: RefSeq, a predicted model, not a curated record